Molecule: long non-coding RNA, 2173 nt
Organism: Phlebotomus papatasi
Lineage: Eukaryota; Metazoa; Arthropoda; Insecta; Diptera; Psychodidae
Exons: 3
Source: RefSeq, a predicted model, not a curated record
AGGACUAUUUUAACACCGCUGUCCAAUAGAGAAAAUAAUUUAGUAAAUAAUAAUAACAAUUUUUAUAUUAAUAUGAACGUAAACGUAACGCAGCAUAAUGUGAACGUAAAAUUGACUAGAAAUUAAUUUAAACAAAAAAAUGGGUCCGUGGUGAAAUUGGUAAAAUCGUUCAGCUUUUCAAUGGGGUGACUGUGACGCCCCAAUCGACUGUGACAUUUGUGAGUUCGAGUUCUACCCAUUGCAAAUGAUUGAUACGUCAAAAUGAACAAAUUUUAACUCACACAUUGUAAACAAAAUAAAAUAUUGUAAAGUGAUGUACAAAAUGGUAUUCACAAAAUGGUAUAACCGGUAGUGGCAUCACUGGUACAUCAAAAUAAAUAGAUAAAUAAUAAUUAAAAAAAAAAUAAUUUCAAAGUAAAGUUACGCUUUGUAAGUUACGUUAUUUAACUAGGUACAUUAGUGAUGUUCCUUUGCACUAAGUAUGAACAUAGGAUUAAAGGAUUAAAAAAAACUUAAACAAUAUUGUAUGCUGCAUUUCAAUUGCUACAAUCUCUAUACCCAGUUUGAAAUAUUUGUUAUGGGUUGUAGGUGCUAUUAGCUUAGACUCUUUUUAUCUCAAUACUUCCGUAAAAAGAAGGCCAAAUAUUUUGAUUACCUUAGCGGAUAUUUAGGGUGUUUGAUAGAGUUUCGAACUCUCGGCACAUAGGGAGUAACAGCUGCAAUAUCCACGUGGAAAUGGUUGAGGAAUUUGCUGGAUGAAAGGGUGUGUUGCUUGUGCCUUUGAACGACCUCCCGCACACAGAAGCCCACCACAUAGCUGGAGUAGUUUCUGUGCUGUGAAGGAAAAAAAAAUCCCAUCAAUUUAUAUGAAGUUGAUUGUUGGAUGGGAACAAUAGUGAAGAGAGCCUGACAGCAAGGAGCUGAACUUGGACUUUGGACAAAAAAGGAGAGACUCAUCGACCUCCUACGUUAACAUUUAAUUGGAAAAGAAGUGGCAGCAAUGGGCUUUUCUCGGUCCUUGUGAGGUAUCACAGCGUGAAAUGGUUUGGUGAAUUUCUUUCGGCAAAUAUUGAUAUACCUCCCCGUGGUGUCUGGCAAACAGGAAGGACAUCUUGGUCAUUGAAGCCCAACUGUGAAAUCUGUCCUGCUUUGUGUAUUCAAGAUCACCAUUGCAAUGCGUGGGUGCACUGUGACUCCCCAGCAGCAGUCUUCCACCUUUCUUGCGUAUACCUGAGCAUCAAAGCGACUGAUAGAACAAAAGGACAUAAACUUAAUCGUUGGAUCCAAUGCUCCGCCCGAUUUUCGGGCGGGUCUCGUAUUUGCCAUCGCCUUCGGUACUGCGCACAUUCCAUUGAGCAAAUGUAAAGCAUUCUGAGAGACAUCUAUUUCAUGAUAACAGCUCCAUUGAUAAAACCCAUAUACUUUCACACAACGGCGUUAUAUAUUUGCUACUCAAUAUCAAACCAGUAGAGCUUUAUGUACUAAACCAUGAGCUUAUUAUAUAAAUGGGUUCUAUUUCGAGAAAAAUGAUAGAAAGUACACUCCAUCAUUUUUUAGACACUUUCUCAUUUCAAAAACAGUGUAAUUAAAGUGGAAUAAGGGCAGAUUAUACAUUAUAUUUAUAUAAAUAAUACAAAGGUCAAAACGGUAAUUAUAAGUUUGAUUAUAUAUAUACAAAUAAUAUGAUAUUUUAUGAUAUGAUAUAUGAUAUUUUAGGAUAUAUACGUACUGGAUAGAAAUGUUAGAUUUUAUUGUUUUUCAUUGCACAUGAUAAUUAUAUUUGGCAUUUUUUAACAGAACAAAUAUUAGUAAAUAAAUUGAUAAUUUAGCAAUAUGUUUACUUACACUGUUUCAUGGUUUUUGUUCGCCACGAUUUUAUAAAUAACUUUAUGUAAGUCUAGCGAUUUUAAAAUAUUUUUAAUAUCAUUUUUUCUUCAAGUUUCAAAAGAAGUUUGCAUAUUUGAAAAAUGUAAGAUAUAUGAAUCCAACAAUACUGCUUAUAUUUUAAUAAACUUAUUUGUGUUAUAAACUUAUUUCGUUAUAAGUUGCCACAGGUUCUUAAUUCUAAAAAAAAUCGACAAUUUGAUAAAUAUUUAUAAAUUAAUUAUUUAUACAAUGGAAAUUGCAAUGGAGGAAUAAUAUUUCUUCAAAAAUAAUUAAAAAAAAUAUUUUC